Molecule: ribosomal RNA, 547 nt
Filed under: uncultured bacterium
Lineage: Bacteria
Description: bacterial SSU rRNA
Rfam family: Bacterial small subunit ribosomal RNA
Source: RNAcentral
GGAAUAUUGGGCAAUGGGCGCAAGCCUGACCCAGCGACGCCGCGUGAGGGAUGAAGGCCUUCGGGUUGUAAACCUCUUUCAGUAGGGAAGAAGCGAAAGUGACGGUACCUAAAGAAGAAGCACCGGCUAACUAUGUGCCAGCAGCCGCGGUAAUACAUAGGGUGCAAGCGUUGUCCGGAAUUAUUGGGCGUAAAGAGCUCGUAGGUCGUUUGCCGCGUCGAUUGUGAAAAUCUGAGGCUCAACCUCAGACCUGCAGCCGAUACGGGCAAACUAGAGUGUGGUAGGGGAGACUGGAAUUCCUGGUGUAGCGGUGGAAUGCGCAGAUAUCAGGAGGAACACCAAUGGCGAAGGCAGGUCUCUGGGCCAUAACUGACACUGAGGAGCGAAAGCGCGGGGAGCGAACAGGAUUAGAUACCCUGGUAGUCCGCGCCGUAAACGAUGGGCACUAGCUGUGAGAGCCUUCCACGGUUCUCGCGACGCAGCAAACGCAUUAAGUGCCCCGCCUGGGGAGUACGAUCGCAAGAUUAAAACUCAAAUGAAUUGACGG